RNAcentral lists this ribosomal RNA (1779 nucleotides) under human gut metagenome. RNAcentral's name for it is "bacterial LSU rRNA". It matches the Rfam family "Bacterial large subunit ribosomal RNA", at positions 730 to 2524 of the family's 2925-position model. The record is from RNAcentral.
CUAUCCGUGGGCAGGCUGAAGCGGGGGUAAGACCCCGUGGAGGGCCGAACGCACGUCGGUUGAAAACGGCGGCGAUGACCUGCGGAUAGGGGUGAAAGGCCAAUCAAACCCGGAGAUAUCUCGUUCUCCCCGAAAUAGCUUUAGGGCUAGCGUCGCGCGUUCACCGCCGGAGGUAGAGCACCGGAUGGACGAGGGGGCUUCGCCGCCUACCGAAUCCAACCGAACUCCGAAUGCCGGCGGCCCAGAGCGCGGCAGUCAGAGCAUGUGGGCUAAGCUGUGUGCUCGAGAGGGAAACAGCCCGGACCGCCCGCUAAGGUCCCCAAGUUCCAGCCGAGUGGCAAAGGAUGUGCGUCCGCCCAGACAACCAGGAUGUUGGCUUAGAAGCAGCCACACAUUCAAAGAGUGCGUAAUAGCUCACUGGUCGAGUGAUCCAGCGCCGAAAAUGUAACGGGGCUAAAACGCGACACCGAAGCAGCGGGAUGCGUAAGCAUCGGUAGAGGAGCAUUGUGUGAGGAUAGAAGCCAGAGCGGGAGCACUGGUGGACUUCACAGAAGAGAGAAUGCCGGUAUGAGUAGCGAGACCCAUGCGAGAAACAUGGGCGUCGAAGGCCCAAGGUUUCCUGGGGAAGGUUCAUCCACCCAGGGUAAGUCGGGACCUAAGCCGAGGACUGAGGUCGUAGGCGAUGGACAGCAGGUAGAGAUUCCUGCACCACUUACACUUGUUUGACGAAGCAGUGACACAGAAGGAUAGGACGAGCGCGGUGAUGGUCAACCGCGUAGGCGGCACGAGGCCGGGAAGCAGUGAAGUACACUUCCCGCAAAGGCUGAGUGUUGACAGGACCGAAAAGAAGUAGGGAAGCGUCCGAGUUCACGCUGGCGAGAAAAGCUGCUAAGGAGAGUGUGAGUGCCCGUACCGGAAACCGACGCAGGUGGGCGAGGAGAGAAUCCUGAGACGGACGGGAGAACUCUUGUUAAGGAACUCGGCAAAAUGACCCCGUAACUUCGGGAGAAGGGGUGCCUCGAAAGAGGCCGCAGAGAAUAGUCACAAGCGACUGUUUAGCAAAAACACAGGUAUCUGCGAAAGCGAGAGCUGACGUAUAGGUGCUGACGCCUGCCCGGUGCUGGAAGGUUAAGGGGAAGUGUUAGGGGAAACCCGAAGCAGAGAACCGAAGCCCCAGUAAACGGCGGCCGUAACUAUAACGGUCCUAAGGUAGCGAAAUUCCUUGUCGGGUAAGUUCCGACCCGCACGAAUGGCGUAACGACUUGUGAGCUGUCUCAACAGGAGGCCCGGUGAAAUUGAAGUAUGUGUGAAGAUGCACAUUACCCGCGACUGGACGGAAAGACCCCGUAGAGCUUUACUGUAACCUGACAUUGGAUCUUGAUAACGGAUGCACAGGAUAGGUGGGACGCUGGGAGGUAUGGACUUUGGUCUGUACGGAGCGGACGUUGGGAUACCACUCUUCUGUUAUUGAGAUUCUAACCUCAAGCCGUAAGCCGGAUGAGAGACAGUGUCAGGCGGACAGUUUGACUGGGGCGGUCGCCUCCGAAAGAGUAACGGAGGCGCCCAAAGGUACCCUCAGAAUGGAUGGAAACCAUUCGAAGAGAGCAAAGUCAGAAGGGUGCUUGACUGCGAGACCAACAAGUCGAGCAGGUACGAAAGUAGGGCUUAGUGAUCCGGCGGUAAGAGAGUGGAAUUGCCGUCGCUCAACGGAUAAAAGCUACCUCGGGGAUAACAGGCUGAUCUCCCCCAAGAGUCCACAUCGACGGGGAGGUUUGGCAC